Molecule: ribosomal RNA, 497 nt
Filed under: uncultured bacterium
Lineage: Bacteria
Description: partial 16S ribosomal RNA
Rfam family: Bacterial small subunit ribosomal RNA
Source: RNAcentral
GAUGAACGCUGGCGGCGUGCCUAAUACAUGCAAGUCGAGCGAACGGACGAGAAGCUUGCUUCUCUGAUGUUAGCGGCGGACGGGUGAGUAACACGUGGAUAACCUACCUAUAAGACUGGGAUAACUUCGGGAAACCGGAGCUAAUACCGGAUAAUAUUUUGAACCGCAUGGUUCAAAAGUGAAAGACGGUCUUGCUGUCACUUAUAGAUGGAUCCGCGCUGCAUUAGCUAGUUGGUAAGGUAACGGCUUACCAAGGCAACGAUGCAUAGCCGACCUGAGAGGGUGAUCAGCCACACUGGAACUGAGACACGGUCCAGACUCCUACGGGAGGCAGCAGUAGGGAAUCUUGCGCAAUGGGCGAAAGCCUGACGCAGCAACGCCGCGUGUAAGAUGAAGGUCUUCGGGUCGUAAAGCUCUUUUAGUAGGGAGGAAGAUAGUUGUGAGUAUCUGUGCGCAUCUUGACGGUACCUAAACAGAAAGCCACGGCUAACUACGUG